Molecule: ribosomal RNA, 662 nt
Filed under: Companilactobacillus paralimentarius
Lineage: Bacteria; Bacillati; Bacillota; Bacilli; Lactobacillales; Lactobacillaceae
Description: bacterial SSU rRNA
Rfam family: Bacterial small subunit ribosomal RNA
Source: RNAcentral
GUCGAACGAACCAUCCUGAAGAUUGAAGCUUGCUUCAUGAUUCAGACCUUGGUGAGUGGCGGACGGGUGAGUAACACGUGGGUAACCUGCCCAGAAGUGGGGGAUAACAUUUGGAAACAAGUGCUAAUACCGCAUAACAACUUAGAUCACAUGAUCUUUGUUUAAAAGAUGGUUUUGCUAUCUCUUCUGGAUGGACCCGCGGCGUAUUAGCUAGUUGGUGAGGUAAUAGCUCACCAAGGCGAUGAUACGUAGCCGACCUGAGAGGGUAAUCGGCCACAUUGGGACUGAGACACGGCCCAAACUCCUACGGGAGGCAGCAGUAGGGAAUCUUCCACAAUGGACGAAAGUCUGAUGGAGCAAUGCCGCGUGAGUGAAGAAGGUUUUCGGAUCGUAAAACUCUGUUGUUGAAGAAGAACAUAUGUGAGAGUAACUGUUCACGUACUGACGGUAUUCAACCAGAAAGCCACGGCUAACUACGUGCCAGCAGCCGCGGUAAUACGUAGGUGGCAAGCGUUGUCCGGAUUUAUUGGGCGUAAAGAGAAUGUAGGCGGUUUAUUAAGUUUGAAGUGAAAGCCCUCGGCUCAACCGAGGAAGUGCUUCGAAAACUGGUAAACUUGAGUGCAGAAGAGGAAAGUGGAACUCCAUGUGUAGCGGUGGAAUGC